CCUACGGGAGGCAGCAGUGAGGAAUAUUGGUCAAUGGACGAGAGUCUGAACCAGCCAAGUAGCGUGAAGGAUGACUGCCCUAUGGGUUGUAAACUUCUUUUAUAUGGGAAUAAAAUGUUCCACGUGUGGGAUUUUGUAUGUACCAUAUGAAUAAAGAUCGGCUAACUCCGUGCCAGCAGCCGCGGUAAUACGGAGGAUCCGAGCGUUAUCCGGAUUUAUUGGGUUUAAAGGGAGCGUAGGUGGAUUGUUAAGUCAGUUGUGAAAGUUUGCGGCUCAACCGUAAAAUUGCAGUUGAAACUGGCAGUCUUGAGUACAGUAGAGGUGGGCGGAAUUCGUGGUGUAGCGGUGAAAUGCUUAGAUAUCACGAAGAACUCCGAUUGCGAAGGCAGUUCACUGGACUGCAACUGACACUGAGGCUCGAAAGUGUGGGUAUCAAACAGGAUUAGAUACCCCAGUAGUC
This 460-nucleotide ribosomal RNA is filed under the name uncultured bacterium. RNAcentral's name for it is "partial 16S ribosomal RNA". It matches the Rfam family "Bacterial small subunit ribosomal RNA", at positions 338 to 795 of the family's 1533-position model. The record is from RNAcentral.